UGGCUCUCGCAUCGAUGAAGAACGCAGCGAAAUGCGAUAAGUAAUGUGAAUUGCAGAAUUCAGUGAAUCAUCGAAUCUUUGAACGCACCUUGCGCUCCUUGGUAUUCCGAGGAGCAUGCCUGUUUGAGUGUCAUGAAAUUCUCAACCUUCCCGGCUUUUAUUAGCUGGCUAGGCUUGGAUUGUGGGAGCUGCUGGCAUCUCAGAUGUCAGCUCUUCUUAAAUGUAUUAGCAAAACCUUUGCUGACCAUCAUUGGUGUGAUAAUUAUCAAUGCCAUUGAGGUUAAGCUCCUUAUGGAGGGUUUAGCUUCUAAUAGUCCUUCUGGACAACUUCUUGACAAUUUGACCUCAAAUCAGGUAGGACUACCCGCUGA
Molecule: unclassified non-coding RNA, 371 nt
Filed under: uncultured fungus
Lineage: Eukaryota; Fungi
Description: partial contains 5.8S ribosomal RNA and internal transcribed spacer 2
Rfam family: 5.8S ribosomal RNA (bases 1-133)
Source: RNAcentral